CCCGCAAGGGGUAGGCCCGGCGCACGACUCUAACCAGCCCGGGCCGCGAUGCAAGUCGGCGCCCUGCCCCCCCGGGGGUGGCGCCGGCGACACUCUCGAACUGACGGGGACACCCUAAAGCCGAUCGCACCAACCCGUGACGGGAAACCGCCCGGGGGCCCGUGGUAACGACACGGGGGAUGGUAACAGACGAUUCGGAUACCGCCCGCGCUUCGGCGCGGCGACCAUGGGCAAUCCGCAGCGAAGCCCCUACGUCCCCCGGUGGGGGAUACGGGGAACGUCCACAGACUAAGUGGAAGUGGGUGGGACGCAGCCGUCCCGCUUAAGAUAUAGUCGGGCCCCCCGGGAGACCAGGGGGGCGAGUACACUGCUCCGCGAAAAACCAACCCGUUCCGUAGGUGAACCUGCGGAAGGAUCAUUACCGAGUGCGGGCCCUCAGGGUCCAACCUCCCACCCGUGUUUAUCGUACCUUGUUGCUUCGGCGGGCCUGCCGUCAGGCUGCCGGGGGGCAUCCGCCCCCGGGCCCGCACCCGCCGAAGACACCCCUGAACGCUGUCUGAAGAUUGCGGUCUGAGCACUUAGCUAAAUCAGUUAAAACUUUCAACAACGGAUCUCUUGGUUCCGGCAUCGAUGAAGAACGCAGCGAAAUGCGAUAAGUAAUGUGAAUUGCAGAAUUCAGUGAAUCAUCGAGUCUUUGAACGCACAUUGCGCCCCCUGGUAUUCCGGGGGGCAUGCCUGUCCGAGCGUCAUUGCUGCCCUCAAGCACGGCUUGUGUGUUGGGCCCCCGCCCCCCGGUCUCGGGGGGCGGGCCCGAAAGGCAGCGGCGGCACCGCGUCCGGUCCUCGAGCGUAUGGGGCUUCGUCACCCGCUCCGUAGGCCCGGCCGGCGCCCGCCGGCGACCCCCAUCAAUCUAUCCAGGUUGACCUCGGAUCAGGUAGGGAUACCCGCUGAACUUAAGCAUAUCAAUAAGCGGAGGAAAAGAAACCAACAGGGAUUGCCUCAGUAACGGCGAGUGAAGCGGCAAGAGCUCAAAUUUGAAAGCUGGCCCCCUCGGGGCCCGCAUUGUAAUUUGCAGAGGAUGCUUCGGGAGCGGCCCCCAUCUAAGUGCCCUGGAACGGGCCGUCAUAGAGGGUGAGAAUCCCGUCUGGGAUGGGGUGCCCGCGCCCGUGUGAAGCUCCUUCGACGAGUCGAGUUGUUUGGGAAUGCAGCUCUAAAUGGGUGGUAAAUUUCAUCUAAAGCUAAAUACUGGCCGGAGACCGAUAGCGCACAAGUAGAGUGAUCGAAAGAUGAAAAGCACUUUGAAAAGAGAGUUAAACAGCACGUGAAAUUGUUGAAAGGGAAGCGCUUGCGACCAGACUCGCCCCCGGGGUUCAGCCGGCAUUCGUGCCGGUGUACUCCCCGCGGGGCGGGCCAGCGUCGGUUUGGGCGGCCGGUCAAAGGCCCUCGGAAUGUACCGCC
Molecule: ribosomal RNA, 1458 nt
Filed under: fungal endophyte
Lineage: Eukaryota; Fungi
Description: eukaryotic LSU rRNA
Rfam family: Eukaryotic large subunit ribosomal RNA (bases 921-1458)
Source: RNAcentral